UACGUAGGGCGCAAGCGUUAUCCGGAAUUAUUGGGCGUAAAGAGCUCGUAGGCGGUUUGUCGCGUCUGCCGUGAAAGUCCGGGGCUCAACUCCGGAUCUGCGGUGGGUACGGGCAGACUAGAGUGAUGUAGGGGAGACUGGAAUCCUGGUGUAGCGGUGAAAUGCGUAGAUAUCUGGAGGAACACCGGUGGCGAAGGCGGCAUCCUGGACCGGUAUUGACACUGAGGCGCGAAAGCCAGGGGAGCAAACGGG
This 252-nucleotide ribosomal RNA is filed under the name uncultured bacterium. Its description in RNAcentral is "partial 16S ribosomal RNA". It matches the Rfam family "Bacterial small subunit ribosomal RNA", at positions 524 to 776 of the family's 1533-position model. The record is from RNAcentral.